Molecule: long non-coding RNA, 6203 nt
Organism: Heterocephalus glaber (naked mole-rat)
Lineage: Eukaryota; Metazoa; Chordata; Mammalia; Rodentia; Bathyergidae
Source: Ensembl
GCGUUCUCAACCUUAAGCCAAUGCACAUUUAUAGAACAAUUCCAUGUGAUCCUGAGGAAGGCGGACUUCAGGCGGAGGGCAGUGCUGAAAAGUUGUAAUCUCGAGAGAGAGGACUCUUCCCUCUUGCUGCUCUUCAUGCUAAGAGGACACUGGUGGCCUCUGAAAACAUUCUGACGGACACUGGGCACCCUGAGUCACCAUGGGCAAUGAGAACAGCACCUUGGACCACCAGCAAGAGGACGACGGCUUGCAUGAUGUCAUCCUGUGGCCUCCAAACCCUGAUCCUCUGCAGAGGACUUCAUCAGCUCAGAGUCCAAGAUCCAUGCAGCCACCUGGGGAAAAGAAGCACGGAGAUUCUCCCAGAAGCCCUGACGGUGGGGACUUGUCCAGCAGCACUCCAGACUGUUUAACUUCAUAGUCAACUGAAAAUGGGAAAGAUCAAGGCUUCCAAGGGGCUUAAUCUGAGGCCAAGUGGGGUGUGUGUUCCAGAGAGCAGGCUAUGUUGGCACUGGACCGUGAAACAGAGGAUUCAGACAGCAGUUCCUCAAGCCAAGGAGCCUGGUGGAUUAAUUCCAGAAGUCAACAAGACCACACGGUGGCAAUGGAACAUGGCCAGCACAGAUGUGGCUCAUUCAUCAGUGGUUCCUCAUUAUGGUCCACAGCCAGGCCCUGGUUUCCUGCCAUGGCUCCCUGCAGGAACUCUCUCCGCAGUAUCCUACACCCAUAGUUUUGGGGGUACUCACGAGCAGAGGGCCAGUGGACUUACGUGAUCAGUUCCCAGCAUGGACAUAGGCCAGGCACAUUGGAGCCAACUAGUAACUACUUGUGGGUUCAACUCAUGAGUAGGUCUUGGAUCUGGUUACCAUAACCCUUUUGAACAAUAAAAUCCAGCUUCCCAGAGCCUAUAAUUACAGGCAUUAAGGGAACAAACUAGAGCUCUAUGCAACAAAACUUAAAUGAUAAGCCCCUUGUCAUAGUGAAGCUUUGGGUCACUCACAGCAGGCUUCAUAAUAGCUUUUCAAAACCUUCAGACUCAAAGUGACUUUUUUUUUUUUUUUUUUUUUUUUGCUUUCGGGAACAUAAGAGCGACCUCUGGUGGCAGAAAUUCCCAUGCCAGGGGUUAUCACUUUUGGGUGUCUUAGGUUAUGUGGUUUCUGGAGGAAAUACUUGGAACCUCUUGGCAUGAACAUUAGGUAAAUAGUAAUCAGAUGGGACAGGGUGUUCUGUUUUGUUGAGUGAGUCACAGAAUGAUGCCUUGAACAUCACCUUUGACCCCUGUCCUAUGCUAGCAGUAGGACCCCCUUCCCUUCCCACAUCUCUUCAGCUGUUCCUGUCCUUAAACCCUUUACCAUGGUAACAGAACAAAGGUUUUUGUAUUUAGUUUUAACCAGACCUCUAAGUUGGUUCUGAUGAUCAUAAAACUAACAGAUGAGUUUAUGAUCUCUGGAAUCCCUUGCAAGGGAAACUACUGCUGGCUCAGACCCAAGGUCUUGCUCUUCCCUCUCCAUCUUCGUGGGGUCCUGGGACCUCUUAGGAGACUCAGGGAAUUGUUCAGGGCCUGCAUCACAACUGGACUAAAGAACAACAGCAGCUCAAAGGUCUUUUGUUGCUUGUUCCUCAGCUUUAGUCAAUUAUUAUUUUCCUUUGAAGAAGAAUCACCUCUCAUUGGCAUGCAAAUUGAGAAUAAAAGAAGUGCCUUCCAAGAACAAGCCUAAAGAAGCAACUUCCUGUUCACAAUUGAAAACAGGAUUGUCCUCAAUAAAUGUGUACAUGUCCACAGUGCAAGGCCCUGUGCCUAGUAACUCAGACACUAUUGAGAACAGGCGGCCUCCCUCCUCUCCAGGGAUUUGCGCUGAGUCUGUCCUGAAGUUGAGAUGUUUGUAGGAGAGAUGGGGCACAGCUCCUGAGUCAUGCCAGCCUUAGCAUUAACCAAAGAUAACAAUAGCAUUUAAUGUUCAUUCUGCAUCUGGGUGCCAGACAUCAUGACAAAUGUUAUAUGUGUACAAAGUAAAAUUUUGUCUUCUUUGAAGCGAUUCAAUUAUGCUUUGAGUCCUUACUCUGCCAGGCUGUUGGGGAUGCCCAUGGCAGCUGUCCUUGGGUCUCCCCUCUAUUAAACCCUGAUAUACUGAGGCUGUCAUCUGGCUCCUCUUCAUCCCGAGGGCCACCACCAAGAUGCCUGUAGGUCCAGCCAAACUGUCUGUCCAUCAGUCCCUGGGACUGACCUGCUUUCCUGCCAUCGUUGGCACAUGGAAAUCUUGGCUGAUCCUGGGAGUCCCUGCCCUUCCUGUUGGGGCUUUUCCUUCCCUGAUCAUUCCCCUCUCACACUGCCAGGAAGGCAGGGUGAGGUGCUCAGAUAGCCCCAUUGCUCAGGGUCCUUUCUCUAUUCUCCCACCCUCAAAUGCUUUUGUCUUCUCUGGUGGCUUCAUUGGACAACCAGCCUUUAGUCUCCAAAGGACACAGGAUUUUACAAAUGGUGGGAAAAGCCACUGACUCAAAUUGUUGCUAGUCAUAAAAACACCAGAGAGAGAAAAUGCAGAAGAGCCUACAGCGGCUAUCAGCUCACUGGGGGGGCACCGGAAGAAUCGGUCAGCCUUCCAUAUUCUUGGUUCCUGUAUCUGUGGAUUUAGCCAGUCAUGGAUCAGAAAUAUUUUGAAGAAAACUGCACCUGUAGUGAAUGCAUAAAGACUUUUCCCCUUGCAUUAUACCCUAAUCAAUACAGUAUGGCAACUAUUUAGAUUGUAUUGUUAAAAAUAAUCUGGAGAUGAUUUAAAAUAUUUGGGCAGAUGUACUAUGCUAAUGUGUACAAGGAGCUUGAGCACCCUUAAAUUUUGGUGUCAGCAGGGAGGGAUUCCCUAGAACCAAUACCCAGCCCAAACCAAGGGACCACUGAAUAGAAAGUCAGACAUUAAUAUUUCUAAAAGUUGUCCCUGUGCUGUCAGAGCUCCACUCCACAGAUGAGGAGACAGAGGCUCACUGCAUUAUGUAAUCUGCUUUAGCAGUAGGAAGGCCAUUGUUUUUCCUUGAGGCUCUUCUCUCCCUCUGAACUGUACUAGACUCUGGGGUUUACACAUCCUAAAAGGCAGUAAACUCUUCAUCCAAAUAGAAGCUGGGGUUUCAUCAGCUCAACUGCCCUGCUUCCUGGUUGCCACAUGGUGUCGCUGUUGUCAUUUAACCCUACAGAAGCUGGGGGCCUGCCUUCCUGAAGCCAUCCCUGGCAGGCCCAGAAUUCUUCAGGAACAAUGGUCCCACCCUCCCAGGGUGAAAGUUAACCUCCUAUGACACUCCUACUGCUCAGCAAUGUCCACCCCCACAUGACUGGCUUGCGUGCCUGUGUCUGGAUGGACUCCAGGCCUAGCAUCUUCUGGAGCCCCUUUUCUCUUUGGGUAUCAACAGGCAGGGAUGGGGCAUUUUCCUUUAAACCCUAUGAACACAACCAGUCUUACCAAACAACCUUUUCCCCCAGACAAUGGAACUGUUAAGUUGCACUAGAGAAAGUGACUGUUUCUGUGGGAGAAAGAUUGUCAGACACAGGCUACUUCCUGUGCUCCAGCAUCAUAUGUGGCAAGUAUGACGAGCUUCCAAGGAAGGCCCAAGCUGUACAGAUCACUGGCUUUUCUCUGGGAAGGACUCUAAAUUAUGUCUCAGGAACUCUCUGGCACUUUUGUUACUAAGGAGGGGGACACCCCACUGCUUGGGACUUAGAGUCUCAACCCCUGUCCAGUGGUUCUUAAAUGUGCAUGAACAUCAAGGGCAUCUGCAAGACUGGUUAAAAUGGACAUUUCUCCAGAGUGUGAUCUGGUAGGUCUGGGGCAAGGCCUCGCAAUGAGCAUUCCCAACAAAUGUCCAGGUGACACCAAGCUGUGGGCCCAGGACCACACUCUGAGGACGGGGGUGUGUGCCGUACAACUGUGUGGUUCAGAUCCAGAGGCCCUCUCGGAGGGCUGGACUGGAGGAAAAGAGUCUCCCAGCUGGGGUGGGGAGCCCUGGGCAUAGGGGCACCCCCAGAGGGCAGUGCAGGUGGAGGCCGAGCAGGAAGUGAGCAGAGACCAGGCUGGUGGGUGCUUACUGAAAACGAAGAUCUGCGCCAGAUUGGGGAGGUCCUGUAGGUUAGGUGAGGGGCUGAGAUUUUAUCCUGCAGUGCUUAUGUUCUUUUUGGUAUCGGGAUCAAACUCUGGGCCUUGUGCUUUUGAGGCAGGCAGCAGAACCAGUGAGCUAAAUCCCCGGCCCCGCUUGUGGUUUGUUUUUAAGCAAGGAUGAAGGCCGACAAGGAAAGAGUCAGAAGAGGAAUUUCGAGACCCUCACUUAGUACAGUGGAGAGUAGUAAGUGAUGUCCGGGCAGUGCAGGGAUGGUGGCCAGGAGACAAUCCCAAGGGAGGACCCAGGAAACCUGGUAACUACCUGGGUGUGGGUGGAAAAGGCGGAGUCAAAGAAGAUGCCAAGGUUCUGAACUGAGAACCCAAAAGAAAGAUCUAACUUCAGGAACUAGGCCAGUCAGGUGAGAGCUGCUUUGGGGACACUGAUCAGUGCAGACGUGGCAGGAGCCCCAGACUCGUCUGCUGGGACACUCUGGUCUGGCCUUUAUUUGAGCAGGCCCCUGGCGGUGGGGAGGAGUGACAGUUUAAUGAGGUGAUUAUGGCCCCAAAUCCUAUGAGAGCCUCAUGGUGGUUUCAAUUAUUUUUGCAAGUUAUUCUCAAAUAAGCCAGCUUAUUCCAGUGCUCUCAUUUUUGUUCUUUUAAAUUAUACUGAAGAGCACAGGAAGAGAUCCAGAGUGGGGUAGAUGAUGUAAAGUCGCCCAGACUCUGAGAUCAUAAGAUUUGCCUGGGUGUUUGGUGAAUGCAUCAGUUGCUACGCCCCUUCCCAGGCUGGCAGCAGCAUCGCCCCAUGUGGAGUAAGGAGCAGAGGGCCAGGAAAUGGUUAGCUACCUUAGCAGAAUUGCCUGGGGCACCCGUUAAAAUGCUCAUUCCUUGGCUUUUUCAGAAGACAAACUCCUACUGCGAACAAAAAUUCUUGAUGGUGCCUAAUAGCAGUUCAGAGGAAGGGCAGCCAAGUAGUUUGGAAAGUGAAAUAAUGUAUUCCACCAUCAAGGCAAGGGGGUGUCUUAUCCCUCACCUCCCACUGUCAUUAAGAGGACCAUGUCCGCUCCAUGCUAAACAUCUGCCCCCACCCACCCAGCCAGCAGCUCUGUUUGAAUGCGUGUAGAUGAUCCAAGGGGCCUUAUGAAGACACCAAAAUUCAGAGAAGUCAAGAAACUUGCCCUUGGUCACACAGACAGAACAGGGCAUGAUGGGAGCUAGAAUCCAACUUGGUUCGAUGCCAUCUAAAACCCAGAUUCAUACCAUAUGCCACCUCUUAUGGAGGUCUCACGGAAUUUGUGUUGUGGUCUCUGUAAUUGUAAAGUAAACCUCAGGCAACCGUUAACAUUUAAAAGUCAGUUCUCAGAAAGAGAGAAAAGAAACCCCAGAAAGAUCUGAUCUGUGAGUAGCAGGGCAGCUCUUAAAGACGAGCCCCAUUGCCACGGUGCUGGGUUCUUCCAAAGUUUUGUGAGCUCCCAGAUCCACUUGCUUGCUCUCACUAAGACAAGGAGCUUCUGCCCUCCUUGUUCUGUUUCUGACUCAUUAUUUACUUCUCGCUGGAGACAAACGUAGAGCAGGAGAGAGGGAGGGAAGGAGAGAGAUCCUCACUUUCAACACUGGCUGAAACAUCAUGGCUGAAGUAGGUAUGCAUCUGCUUUCUGCUCAUCUGGUUCAACAGGGUGUGUUCAGCUUUAAAAUGAAGGGGAAAGGAGCAUUUCCCCACCAUAUGACUCAUUUAUUCUAACAGCUUGGAACAUGGGCAAAAGUGGAGUGUAGAGGGGGAAUAAUAUUACCAACAGUCCUAACACCUGCAGGCAACUGCUCUUAAAAUAUUAACGAUUUUCCCUCACACUUUUCUGGGUUUUCAAUGUAGUUCUUUCUUGAUUGUGAGAUGGCUACAUUUUAAAUAUAAACAUACAUAUCUACAUGUAUACACAUACACACACACUGCAUAUAUAUGUGCUUUUUAAAUAACCAGCUAUUUUUAAAGUGGUUUUAGACUUACAGAAAAAUUAAGCAGAGUUUCCAUGUACCUGCCCUUCUUCCUCCACACAAUUUCUGCUACUAUUAAUAAGUUGUAUUUAUAUGGUAUAUUGGGCCAGGUAUGGUGGUGCACACCUAUAAUGCCAG